This is a long non-coding RNA of Mus caroli (Ryukyu mouse), 569 nucleotides long. RefSeq lists it as uncharacterized. NCBI's taxonomy places the organism in Eukaryota, Metazoa, Chordata, Mammalia, Rodentia, Muridae. The record is from RefSeq and is a predicted model, not a curated record.
UGUGGGGGUGGAGGGCAGUAUCUUGACUGAUCCUGAGAUGGGGUCUAGAGCACUGGGAGCUGGGCUUCUCUUAUGCAGGAGUGGAGUAUGGGGUGGUCGACUCCUGUGUACACAGCAUCUGCCAGUAAGAGGGAUGUCAACUCUCUUCUAACCAACCACCAGCUUCUAUACUCGCUCCAAAUCAGAGUGAGAUCCAAGAGUAACGGCCUCUUCCACGUCCCAUCACUGACUACAUAGCUUAAUAGCCAAGUAUCUCCUAAGCUGAAAUAAGCCAUUAUUGCUUUCAUCUACUACCAUGACCUCUCAGAAGUCUUCCCCAGCAUCUUAGGCAUCCAGCUCCUUGCUCAAGACUCCAGAAAGACUCUGAAAACAGGUGCCAACGUGCCUUACUCUUCAGCAAUGCAGGUGCCCUCAAAGGCCAGCUGGAGUCACAGGCGUUAUGAGCUACCUACCUCAGGUGGGUAUUGGAACCGAACUCAGGUCAUCUAGAGGAGCAGUAAGAUCACUUAACCACUGAGCCAUCUGUUUAGCCCCACAGAUGUUAUUUCUUAUGUACAGGCUUAACAUAA